RNAcentral lists this ribosomal RNA (511 nucleotides) under uncultured bacterium. Its description in RNAcentral is "partial 16S ribosomal RNA". It matches the Rfam family "Bacterial small subunit ribosomal RNA", at positions 28 to 523 of the family's 1533-position model. The record is from RNAcentral.
GACGAACGCUGGCGGCGUGCCUAAUACAUGCAAGUAGAACGCUGAAGGAGGAGCUUACUUCUCUGGAUGAGUUGCGAACGGGUGAGUAACGCGUAGGUAACCUGCCUGGUAGCGGGGGAUAACUAUUGGAAACGAUAGCUAAUACCGCAUAAGAGUAGAUGUUGCAUGACAUUUACUUAAAAGGUGCAAUUGCACCACUACCAGAUGGACCUGCGUUGAAUUAGCUAGUUGGUGGGGUAACGGCUUACCAAGGCGACGAUACAUAGCCGACCUGAGAGGGUGAUCGGCCACACUGGGACUGAGACACGGCCCAGACUCCUACGGGAGGCAGCAGUAGGGAAUCUUCGGCAAUGGACGGAAGUCUGACCGAGCAACGCCGCGUGAGUGAAGAAGGUUUUCGGAUCGUAAAGCUCCGUUGUAAGAGAAGAACGAGUGUGAGAGUGGAAAGUUCACACUGUGGCGGUAUCUUACCAGAAAGGGACGGCUAACUACGUGCCAGCCGCCGCGGUAA